Molecule: non-coding RNA, 189 nt
Organism: Oryza meridionalis
Lineage: Eukaryota; Viridiplantae; Streptophyta; Magnoliopsida; Poales; Poaceae
Source: Rfam
UUUAAGUGUAGUCGUUGGUUUUCGUAUCUAACAUUUAACCAUUAUCUUAUUUGAAAAAAAAAGAUAUAAUUAGUAUUAUUGUUAUUAUAUGAUAAAACAUGAAUAAUACUAUGUGUGACUUUUUUAAAAUUUUUUUAAAUAAGACGGACGGUAAAACGUUGGACAGAGAAAAUCACAAUUGCACUUAUA